RNAcentral lists this ribosomal RNA (466 nucleotides) under uncultured bacterium. RNAcentral's name for it is "partial 16S ribosomal RNA". It matches the Rfam family "Bacterial small subunit ribosomal RNA", at positions 29 to 506 of the family's 1533-position model. The record is from RNAcentral.
ACGAACGCUGGCGGCGUGCUUAACACAUGCAAGUCGAACGGAAAGGCCCUGCUUUUGUGGGGUGCUCGAGUGGCGAACGGGUGAGUAACACGUGAGUAACCUGCCCUUGACUUUGGGAUAACUUCAGGAAACUGGGGCUAAUACCGGAUAGGAGCUCCUGCUGCAUGGUGGGGGUUGGAAAGUUUCGGCGGUUGGGGAUGGACUCGCGGCUUAUCAGCUUGUUGGUGGGGUAGUGGCUUACCAAGGCUUUGACGGGUAGCCGGCCUGAGAGGGUGACCGGCCACAUUGGGACUGAGAUACGGCCCAGACUCCUACGGGAGGCAGCAGUGGGGAAUAUUGCACAAUGGGCGGAAGCCUGAUGCAGCAACGCCGCGUGCGGGAUGACGGCCUUCGGGUUGUAAACCGCUUUCGCCUGUGACGAAGCGUGAGUGACGGUAAUGGGGAAAGAAGCACCGGCGAACUACGU